RNAcentral lists this ribosomal RNA (274 nucleotides) under uncultured bacterium. RNAcentral's name for it is "partial 16S ribosomal RNA". It matches the Rfam family "Bacterial small subunit ribosomal RNA", at positions 523 to 796 of the family's 1533-position model. The record is from RNAcentral.
AUACGGAGGGUGCAAGCGUUACUCGGAAUCACUGGGCGUAAAGCGCGCGCAUGCGGCUAUUUAAGUUGGAUGUGAAAGCCUACGGCUCAACCGUAGAACUGCAUCCAAAACUAUUUAGCUAGAGUGUGGGAGAGGAAGAUGGAAUUAGUUGUGUAGGGGUAAAAUCCGUAGAGAUAACUAGGAAUACCAAAAGCGAAGGCAAUCUUCUGGAACACUACUGACGCUGAGGCGCGAAAGCGUGGGGAGCAAAUGGGAUUAGAAACCCUAGUAGUCC